This 2047-nucleotide ribosomal RNA is filed under the name Escherichia coli. RNAcentral describes it as "partial 23S ribosomal RNA". It matches the Rfam family "Bacterial large subunit ribosomal RNA", at positions 612 to 2644 of the family's 2925-position model. The record is from RNAcentral. Lineage: Bacteria; Pseudomonadati; Pseudomonadota; Gammaproteobacteria; Enterobacterales; Enterobacteriaceae.
AUAAUGGGUCAGCGACUUAUAUUCUGUAGCAAGGUUAACCGAAUAGGGGAGCCGAAGGGAAACCGAGUCUUAACUGGGCGUUAAGUUGCAGGGUAUAGACCCGAAACCCGGUGAUCUAGCCAUGGGCAGGUUGAAGGUUGGGUAACACUAACUGGAGGACCGAACCGACUAAUGUUGAAAAAUUAGCGGAUGACUUGUGGCUGGGGGUGAAAGGCCAAUCAAACCGGGAGAUAGCUGGUUCUCCCCGAAAGCUAUUUAGGUAGCGCCUCGUGAAUUCAUCUCCGGGGGUAGAGCACUGUUUCGGCAAGGGGGUCAUCCCGACUUACCAACCCGAUGCAAACUGCGAAUACCGGAGAAUGUUAUCACGGGAGACACACGGCGGGUGCUAACGUCCGUCGUGAAGAGGGAAACAACCCAGACCGCCAGCUAAGGUCCCAAAGUCAUGGUUAAGUGGGAAACGAUGUGGGAAGGCCCAGACAGCCAGGAUGUUGGCUUAGAAGCAGCCAUCAUUUAAAGAAAGCGUAAUAGCUCACUGGUCGAGUCGGCCUGCGCGGAAGAUGUAACGGGGCUAAACCAUGCACCGAAGCUGCGGCAGCGACGCUGAUGCGUUGUUGGGUAGGGGAGCGUUCUGUAAGCCUGUGAAGGUGUGCUGUGAGGCAUGCUGGAGGUAUCAGAAGUGCGAAUGCUGACAUAAGUAACGAUAAAGCGGGUGAAAAGCCCGCUCGCCGGAAGACCAAGGGUUCCUGUCCAACGUUAAUCGGGGCAGGGUGAGUCGACCCCUAAGGCGAGGCCGAAAGGCGUAGUCGAUGGGAAACAGGUUAAUAUUCCUGUACUUGGUGUUACUGCGAAGGGGGGACGGAGAAGGCUAUGUUGGCCGGGCGACGGUUGUCCCGGUUUAAGCGUGUAGGCUGGUUUUCCAGGCAAAUCCGGAAAAUCAAGGCUGAGGCGUGAUGACGAGGCACUACGGUGCUGAAGCAACAAAUGCCCUGCUUCCAGGAAAAGCCUCUAAGCAUCAGGUAACAUCAAAUCGUACCCCAAACCGACACAGGUGGUCAGGUAGAGAAUACCAAGGCGCUUGAGAGAACUCGGGUGAAGGAACUAGGCAAAAUGGUGCCGUAACUUCGGGAGAAGGCACGCUGAUAUGUAGGUGAAGUCCCUCGCGGAUGGAGCUGAAAUCAGUCGAAGAUACCAGCUGGCUGCAACUGUUUAUUAAAAACACAGCACUGUGCAAACACGAAAGUGGACGUAUACGGUGUGACGCCUGCCCGGUGCCGGAAGGUUAAUUGAUGGGGUCAGCGCAAGCGAAGCUCUUGAUCGAAGCCCCGGUAAACGGCGGCCGUAACUAUAACGGUCCUAAGGUAGCGAAAUUCCUUGUCGGGUAAGUUCCGACCUGCACGAAUGGCGUAAUGAUGGCCAGGCUGUCUCCACCCGAGACUCAGUGAAAUUGAACUCGCUGUGAAGAUGCAGUGUACCCGCGGCAAGACGGAAAGACCCCGUGAACCUUUACUAUAGCUUGACACUGAACAUUGAGCCUUGAUGUGUAGGAUAGGUGGGAGGCUUUGAAGUGUGGACGCCAGUCUGCAUGGAGCCGGCCUUGAAAUACCACCCUUUAAUGUUUGAUGUUCUAACGUUGACCCGUGAUCCGGGUUGCGGACAGUGUCUGGUGGGUAGUUUGACUGGGGCGGUCUCCUCCUAAAGAGUAACGGAGGAGCACGAAGGUUGGCUAAUCCUGGUCGGACAUCAGGAGGUUAGUGCAAUGGCAUAAGCCAGCUUGACUGCGAGCGUGACGGCGCGAGCAGGUGCGAAAGCAGGUCAUAGUGAUCCGGUGGUUCUGAAUGGAAGGGCCAUCGCUCAACGGAUAAAAGGUACUCCGGGGAUAACAGGCUGAUACCGCCCAAGAGUUCAUAUCGACGGCGGUGUUUGGCACCUCGAUGUCGGCUCAUCACAUCCUGGGGCUGAAGUAGGUCCCAAGGGUAUGGCUGUUCGCCAUUUAAAGUGGUACGCGAGCUGGGUUUAGAACGUCGUGAGACAGUUCGGUCCCUAUCUG